GUAUAAGCAAUUUAUACCGUGAAACUGCGAAUGGCUCAUUAAAUCAGUUAUCGUUUAUUUGAUAGUACCUUACUACUUGGAUAACCGUGGUAAUUCUAGAGCUAAUACAUGCUAAAAGCCCCGACUUCGGAAGGGGUGUAUUUAUUAGAUUAAAAACCAAUGCCCUUCGGGGCUCUUUGGUGAUUCAUGAUAACUUAACGAAUCGCAUGGCCUUGUGCCGGCGAUGGUUCAUUCAAAUUUCUGCCCUAUCAACUUUCGAUGGUAGUAUAUGGGACUACCAUGGUUUCAACGGGUAACGGGGAAUUAGGGUUCUAUUCCGGAGAGGGAGCCUGAGAAACGGCUACCACAUCCAAGGAAGGCAGCAGGCGCGCAAAUUACCCAAUCCCGACACGGGGAGGUAGUGACAAUAAAUACUGAUGCAGGGCUCUUUUGGGUCUUGUAAUUGGAAUGAGUACAAUUUAAAUCCCUUAACGAGGAACAAUUGGAGGGCAAGUCUGGUGCCAGCAGCCGCGGUAAUACCAGCUCCAAUAGCGUAUAUUAAAGUUGUUGCAGUUAAAAAGCUCGUAGUUGAACCUUGGGCCUGGCUGGCCGGUCCGCCUCACCGCGUGCACUGGUCCGGCCGGGUCUUUCCUCCUGGGGAGCCGCAUGCCCUUCACUGGGUGUGUCGGGGAACCAGGACUUUUACUUUGAAAAAAUUAGAGUGUUCAAAGCAGGCCUAUGCUCGAAUACAUUAGCAUGGAAUAAUAGAAUAGGACGUGUGGUUCUAUUUUGUUGGUUUCUCGGACCGCCGUAAUGAUUAAUAGGGAUGGUCGGGGGCAUCAGUAUUCAAUUGUCAGAGGUGAAAUUCUUGGAUUUAUUGAAGACUAACUACUGCGAAAGCAUUUGCCAAGGAUGUUUUCAUUAAUCAGGGAACGAAAGUUAGGGGAUCGAAGACGAUCAGAUACCGUCGUAGUCUUAACCAUAAACUAUGCCGACUAGGGAUCGGGCGAUGUUAUUUUUUUUUGACUCGCUCGGCACCUUACGAGAAAUCAAAGUCUUUGGGUCUGGGGAGU
RNAcentral lists this ribosomal RNA (1052 nucleotides) under Erysiphe berchemiae. RNAcentral describes it as "SSU rRNA". It matches the Rfam family "Eukaryotic small subunit ribosomal RNA", at positions 63 to 1124 of the family's 1831-position model. The record is from RNAcentral. Lineage: Eukaryota; Fungi; Ascomycota; Leotiomycetes; Helotiales; Erysiphaceae.